RNAcentral lists this non-coding RNA (176 nucleotides) under Clostridiales bacterium. Its description in RNAcentral is "6S RNA". It matches the Rfam family "6S / SsrS RNA". From Rfam's summary of the family: E. coli 6S RNA was the first non coding RNA to be sequenced, but its function was unknown until recently. It consists of 184 nucleotides that fold into an extended hairpin structure with a large single-stranded internal bulge. The record is from RNAcentral. RNAcentral also lists the same sequence under 1 other name. Lineage: Bacteria; Bacillati; Bacillota; Clostridia; Eubacteriales.
UGAUUCCUGGGGUGUUCGAUUUCUUACCAAUUUUGAACCUACAUUUGACAAAAGGGAUUCCAAUAUUUUUAAGCGGAUGUCACGCCUCCGUACGAGUGGAAGGCAGAAGUUUAAGUGAGGUUGCCCACCUAGCAUUGCUAGGCGUCAAUAUGUAAGAGCCGGCACCUUGGGGUCAC